Molecule: ribosomal RNA, 152 nt
Filed under: uncultured Mesonia sp.
Lineage: Bacteria; Pseudomonadati; Bacteroidota; Flavobacteriia; Flavobacteriales; Flavobacteriaceae
Description: partial 16S ribosomal RNA
Rfam family: Bacterial small subunit ribosomal RNA
Source: RNAcentral
GCUAACUCCGUGCCAGCAGCCGCGGUAAUACGGAGGAUCCAAGCGUUAUCCGGAAUCAUUGGGUUUAAAGGGUCCGUAGGCGGAUCAAUAAGUCAGUGGUGAAAGUCCACAGCUCAACCGUAGAAUUGCCAUUUAUACUCUUAGUCUUGAGU